Long non-coding RNA from Melanotaenia boesemani (Boeseman's rainbowfish), 850 nucleotides. RefSeq lists it as uncharacterized. The transcript has 3 exons. NCBI's taxonomy places the organism in Eukaryota, Metazoa, Chordata, Actinopteri, Atheriniformes, Melanotaeniidae. The record is from RefSeq and is a predicted model, not a curated record.
CCUGGUAGUAGGUUAAUCCCCUAGCAUGCUCAACUUGCUUUUCUUUGAAAAUAACUCAAUAUAGACAGCUUUUAUUUUCUCAGCUUGUUUAUCUUCUCUCCACACCUAAAAAGCUACACCAAAGAAGGAAAAAUACUGUACAAGCAGACUGGAAGCUUGCAGCAAAUCCCUACAGUCCCAAUCAGAUGACAUGACUGCAAUCCACGAAUGGGAAACAUGCCAUUUCCAGCUUGCAGCGUGCAGAGAGCCAGGCCUACACGCGUCUUUGUGACUCAACCAGCUCUGGGUGUGCGUCUAUCUGUGUUUGUGUGUGCAUGAUGGUUGGUGCAGCAGGGCUAAAACACCCACGUCCUGCUGCGUGAACCCAGCGCCACCUGUCGCCCAGUCUGGAACGGCCCCUGCUAUCCACACGUCAUCUGUGGGCAUGAGCCUUUUGGCCCUCCUGCAUCUCACACACACCCUCAUAUCACAUUUGAGGCGGGUAAAACCAUGAAUAUUCAAUCAGAGACAAAGUAUUGGGCCCAUAUGUCCUAAUAUGUAUUGUAUGUCUGUCUGUGUUAUGCAACCUCAAGAGGGAAAUCAAAAACAUAUGGAGAACACGAUGAAAGAGUAUAGAUGAAGGUCUCUUCUCUGCCCUUUUAUUAAUACUGAAAGAAAAAAAAAGAUCUAAACCACAAUGGAAAGAUUCCAAAUCUAUCUUAUGGCUAACAGGUUCCUUUGAGACUCUGCUUUGGAAGAAAGUGGAACAUAAGAAGAAUGUGCCCUAAGUCUUUAUGUCUUCUCUGUUUUCAGUGGAAUAAAACAGGAUGCCCGCUGUUCAAUUAAAUCCAGUCAGACAGAAAUUCAUGCA